This 468-nucleotide ribosomal RNA is filed under the name uncultured bacterium. RNAcentral describes it as "partial 16S ribosomal RNA". It matches the Rfam family "Bacterial small subunit ribosomal RNA", at positions 28 to 507 of the family's 1533-position model. The record is from RNAcentral.
GACGAACGCUGGCGGCGUGCUUAACACAUGCAAGUCGAACGGAAAGGCCCUGCUUUUGUGGGGUGCUCGAGUGGCGAACGGGUGAGUAACACGUGAGUAACCUGCCCUUGACUUUGGGAUAACUUCAGGAAACUGGGGCUAAUACCGGAUAGGAGCUCCUGCUGCAUGGUGGGGGUUGGAAAGUUUCGGCGGUUGGGGAUGGACUCGCGGCUUAUCAGCUUGUUGGUGGGGUAGUGGCUUACCAAGGCUUUGACGGGUAGCCGGCCUGAGAGGGUGACCGGCAACAUUGGGACUAAGAUACGGCCCAGACUCCUACGGGCGGCAGCGGUGGGGAGUAUUGCGCAAUGAGCGGGAGCCUGAUGCAGCAACGCCGCGUGCGGAAUGACGGCCUUCGGGUUGUAAACCGCUUUCGCCUGUGACGAGGCGUGAGUGACGGUAAUGGGUAAAGAAGCACCGGCUAACUACGUG